Long non-coding RNA from Corvus hawaiiensis (hawaiian crow), 2455 nucleotides. RefSeq lists it as uncharacterized. Lineage: Eukaryota; Metazoa; Chordata; Aves; Passeriformes; Corvidae. The transcript is spliced from 4 exons. The record is from RefSeq and is a predicted model, not a curated record.
GGAGUGCUUGGAUGAGCUGUGCAGGAGACAGGGAGCUCGGGAUUGCAGCUGCUGCUGGAACCAUUGCCUUAGGUCUGCUUAGUCAGUGUCUGUGUGAAGUGGGAUUUGCGCUGGAGAGGUGCUGUCGGGAACAAAGGACGGAGUAAAUCCUCUCCGGGGAUGCGCAGGGAGGGACUGAGUUGCAGGGAAGGAGAGUAUUUCUAAGCCGUAUCAAUAUUUCCCUGAAACUGGGGCUGGAGCAGUGAGGGGGGUGCUUGGGUUUGGCCUGGGCCUGUCAGGAAGAGCCAUAAACGAGCCAGCCGAGGCCCUGAACCCUCCCUGGAUAUUUGAAACACUUCCACAGAAAGCCAAGGCAGUCACGAUUGCAGAGGACAAAUUGUAGGCGACUGCUUACGAUCCGUGGGGAAUUUCCUUUGGAAUUACAAGUCAGAGAGUGCAUGCAAGCAGAGCACAUCUUUUGGCUUUUUCCGGUCUGUCAUCUCCUGUCUGGCUCUAGAGAGUUUUGUGCGCUCCCGUUCAGGAGGCAGCGUGUUUUCAGCUGGAAAUUUGGGGUGGUUUUGUUUCCUCAGGGUCUGGGGUCUUUCCUGAGAGAAUCAGCCCUCCCAUAAAUCCCCCGGGUUGUUCUACACAGCUGCUUUGGCCAUGGGUCAGAGAGAGAGAAGGGAAAUGACUUUUUAGGGCGUUGAAAUUUCUCCAGGCAGGAGUGGGACGUCGUCUUGCCCCUCCCCAGAGCCCUGCAGGCGCAUGGGAGUAGCUCAGUGCCGGCGCAGCUCUCUGAGCAAUAACAACGCUUGGGAGGUUCGAGUGUUGAUAACAGCUCUCCUGUCUCCUGGGGCCCAAGGUUCGGUCUCACGGUCCCGGACCGGUGAGGGAGAAAAGGAACUUGUGCUAUUCCUGGAAAAGCUUCUGUUAUUCCUUGUGCAGCCUUUUAAUUCUGUGUUCUGAUGGACUGUCCGCUGUCUUUCUAACGAGACUUGUCAGAGAUUCAGAUUUAGGAAUUGAGUUUGGGUCCGUUCACUUCAGGAUCUUGCCAAGCCUGAAGGCCUGGGGCGAUGACUGCUCUCAGCGAGGGCUCUUUAUGAAUCCUCUGUCAGAUUUCCCUCAGUGCUGGGCAGGAAAGGUGCUGGAAUUGCCUGUCUGGACGUGUGCUGAGCUCUCGCUGCUGUGGACUGUGCAGCCUUAAUUGCUGCAGGUUCCUGUUCUUCUCACCAGCUCAAAGUACACGUGGGGUUUUUUCCCCUUCUAUAUAGAGCUGUUGAGUUUGGUGAUUUUCCUGAAUUGAGGAUACUGAAGGUCGAGAAGGAAGAUUUGUCUCUUUUUGUGCUUUUCUGUUGUUAUUUUUAGCACCUGCUCACCAUCUGGACAUGGUUGGAAUACUGGAAACAUAAAAGUUUUUAGAUUCAGUGCUUAUUUAUGCAAACCCAGUUUUUUUACCUUUUUUUUUUUUUUUUUUUUUUUUUUUUUUUUUUGGAAAGGUCUGCAUUUGUCUGCGCACUGUUCCUGGUAUUUUGAUGUAGAAAAGGUCAUGUGAACAGCAGGGAGCAGUGAGCACUUGGAAGGGGGGGUGCAGGUCACCGGCGAGCCUGGGACAAGACCUGAGCCAGAACUUGUUGGGCCCUUGCAGAGAGAGAAGCAGUAAAUGGUGUUGGAGAGUUUUUGGGAGUGCUGUCGGUCCCCGAGGCGGCUUCGGAUCUCCGCGGUCACCGACGCUGCCGAUUUUCCCGGCGCGCGCCGUUCGACGUCGAGGAGCGGCAUCCAGAGGCUGUGUCGGAGCAUCUUCCUGGCUGGAAUGUUUUGAGUAAGGGCUGCAGUCAGGGUGUAAGCUGAAGGGUGUGUGACUGUGUGUGUGUGUGACUGUGUCUGUCUGCCUGCGAGAAGAGUGCGGGUGUGGAAUGGUUCUGACCUUGUGUGUGGGAGUUUUGCCUUUCAGCUACUUUUUAAACUUAGAGUAAAAACAACCCAGCUGCGCUGGCUGGGGAUUUUUUCCCUCCCGGCUGGGUUUUUUUAUCUGGGACCUGGCCGGUCUGUGAGGUGCCGUUCAUCGCCAGGGUUUGGGUGCCGACCGUGCCGGGGAUUUGUCAGGCGGGAUGAUUUUGGGGCUCCCGGGAACCGCGUUCCCAUGGGGUGCUCUCGAGACGAGAGCGAGGGUGGGUUUGUGUGUCAGCUGAAGGAGGUGUGUGGUGGAUGAGUGUUUUCUUCUCCGUGUGCUGCUGUUGUUUUGGGUUUCCUGGAACAAUAAAAUGUCCUAAAUUUUCCAGAAAUAGAACAAUUGUUACAUUGUACUGAUAGGGGGUUGGCUUGUGUUGCUCUGUGUUCGUGUUUGCUGCUGCACUUGCACAUAUUGCUCUGUAUGUCAGUUGGACUUUGACCAGUGUGCAUAUGGAUUGUACUUGUGCUUGUGUACAUUGUUGUUUCCACUUGCUUUGCUGAAGUGUAAAUAAAAAACCCUCGUUCA